Molecule: ribosomal RNA, 510 nt
Filed under: Progoniada regularis
Lineage: Eukaryota; Metazoa; Annelida; Polychaeta; Phyllodocida; Goniadidae
Description: partial 16S ribosomal RNA
Rfam family: Bacterial large subunit ribosomal RNA
Source: RNAcentral
AACCUUAUGAAGCCCCAAUAUAUAAGGCUCUUCCUGCCCAGUGAUAUACGUAUUCAACGGCCGCAGUACCCUGACUGUGCAAAGGUAGCAUAAUAAUUUGCCCCUUAAUUAGGGGCUAGUAUGAAUGGACACAUGAGAAUAAAGCUGUCUCUUCUUUAAAAAUAAAAAUUGGCCUUCAGGUGAAAAGACCUGGAUAGUUAUAGAGGACAAAAAGACCCUAUUGAGCUUCAUUUUAAAAGGACAUCGUAUAAUAAACAAAUUAAAAUUAAACCUAUAAAAAUUUUGUUGGGGCGACAAAGGAAAAAAAAAAACUUCCAUUUUAAGAAAAAGAAAUCUACUCUUACAAAUGAUCCUUAUCAAGAUUAAAGGAAAAAGCUACCAUAGGGAUAACAGACUAAUCAUUUCAGAGAGCUCAAAUUGACGAAAUGGAUUGGCACCUCGAUGUUGGCUUAGGAUAUCCCUCUGGCGUAGAGGCUAGAAAAGGUUGGUUGGUUCAACCAUUAAAAUCCU